This 465-nucleotide ribosomal RNA is filed under the name Vreelandella stevensii. Its description in RNAcentral is "partial 16S ribosomal RNA". It matches the Rfam family "Bacterial small subunit ribosomal RNA", at positions 338 to 795 of the family's 1533-position model. The record is from RNAcentral. Lineage: Bacteria; Pseudomonadati; Pseudomonadota; Gammaproteobacteria; Oceanospirillales; Halomonadaceae.
CCUACGGGCGGCAGCAGUGGGGAAUAUUGGACAAUGGGGGCAACCCCGAUCCAGCCAUGCCGCGUGUGUGAAGAAGGCCCUCGGGUUGUAAAGCACUUUCAGUGAGGAAGAACGCCUGGUGGUUAAUACCCAUCAGGAAAGACAUCACUCACAGAAGAAGCACCGGCUAACUCCGUGCCAGCAGCCGCGGUAAUACGGAGGGUGCGAGCGUUAAUCGGAAUUACUGGGCGUAAAGCGCGCGUAGGUGGCUUGAUAAGCCGGUUGUGAAAGCCCCGGGCUCAACCUGGGAACGGCAUCCGGAACUGUCAAGCUAGAGUGCAGGAGAGGAAGGUAGAAUUCCCGGUGUAGCGGUGAAAUGCGUAGAGAUCGGGAGGAAUACCAGUGGCGAAGGCGGCCUUCUGGACUGACACUGACACUGAGGUGCGAAAGCGUGGGUAGCAAACAGGAUUAGAUACCCUAGUAGUC